AGAGUUUGAUCCUGGCUCAGGAUGAACGCUGGCGGUCUGCUUAACACAUGCAAGUCGAACGGAAGUAGCAAUACUUUAGUGGCGGACGGGUGAGUAACGCGUGAGAAUCUACCUUCAGGACGGAGACAACAGUUGGAAACGACUGCUAACCCCCGAUGUACCGCAAGGGCAAAUAUUUAUAGCCUGAAGAAGAGCUCGCGUCCGAUUAGCUAGUUGGGGGGGUAAAAGCCCACCAAGGCGACGAUCGGUAGCUGGUCUGAGAGGACGAUCAGCCACACUGGGACUGAGACACGGCCCAGACUCCUACGGGAGGCAGCAGUGGGGAAUUUUCCGCAAUGGGCGCAAGCCUGACGGAGCAAGACCGCGUGGGGGAGGAAGGCUCUUGGGUUGUAAACCCCUUUUCUCUGGGAAGAACAAAAUGACGGUACCAGAGGAAUCAGCAUCG
RNAcentral lists this ribosomal RNA (445 nucleotides) under uncultured cyanobacterium. RNAcentral's name for it is "bacterial SSU rRNA". It matches the Rfam family "Bacterial small subunit ribosomal RNA", at positions 8 to 495 of the family's 1533-position model. The record is from RNAcentral. Lineage: Bacteria; Bacillati; Cyanobacteriota.